GCCUGGCUGGCUCAGUUUGUGGAGCGUGUGACUUGAUCUUGAGGUUGUGGGUUUGAGUCCCACCCUGGGUA
RNAcentral lists this transfer RNA (71 nucleotides) under Canis lupus familiaris (dog). It matches the Rfam family "tRNA". Rfam says of the family: Transfer RNA (tRNA) molecules are approximately 80 nucleotides in length. The record is from Rfam by way of RNAcentral. RNAcentral also lists the same sequence under 2 other names. Lineage: Eukaryota; Metazoa; Chordata; Mammalia; Carnivora; Canidae.